RNAcentral lists this ribosomal RNA (466 nucleotides) under uncultured bacterium. RNAcentral describes it as "partial 16S ribosomal RNA". It matches the Rfam family "Bacterial small subunit ribosomal RNA", at positions 339 to 795 of the family's 1533-position model. The record is from RNAcentral.
CUACGGGCCGCUCCAGUGAGGAAUUUUGCGCAAUGGGGGCAACCCUGACGCAGCAACGCCGCGUGAGUGAAGAAGGCCUUUGGGUCGUAAAGCUCUGUCAAUUGGGAAGAAGUUAUGAGUGUCGAAUAGGCACUUGUAUUGACGGUACCAAUGGAGGAAGCGCCGGCUAACUCCGUGCCAGCAGCCGCGGUAACACGGGGGGCGCAAGGCGUUAUUCGGAAUUAUUGGGCGUAAAGGGCGCGUAGGCGGUCUUGUCGGUCAGAUGUGAAAGCCCGGGGCUCAACCCCGGACGUGCAUUUGAAACAGCAAGACUUGAGUACGGGAGAGGAAAGCGGAAUUCCUGGUGUAGAGGUGAAAUUCGUAGAUAUCAGGAGGAACACCGAUGGCGAAGGCAGCUUUCUGGACCGAUACUGACGCUGAGGCGCGAAGGCGUGGGUAGCGAACGGGAUUAGAUACCCGGGUAGUC